Molecule: ribosomal RNA, 1211 nt
Filed under: Microbacterium testaceum
Lineage: Bacteria; Bacillati; Actinomycetota; Actinomycetes; Micrococcales; Microbacteriaceae
Description: bacterial SSU rRNA
Rfam family: Bacterial small subunit ribosomal RNA
Source: RNAcentral
GCUUGGUGGAUCAGUGGCGAACGGGUGAGUAACACGUGAGCAACCUGCCCUGGACUCUGGGAUAAGCGCUGGAAACGGCGUCUAAUACUGGAUAUGAGACGUGAUCGCAUGGUCGUGUUUGGAAAGAUUUUUCGGUCUGGGAUGGGCUCGCGGCCUAUCAGCUUGUUGGUGAGGUAAUGGCUCACCAAGGCGUCGACGGGUAGCCGGCCUGAGAGGGUGACCGGCCACACUGGGACUGAGACACGGCCCAGACUCCUACGGGAGGCAGCAGUGGGGAAUAUUGCACAAUGGGCGGAAGCCUGAUGCAGCAACGCCGCGUGAGGGAUGACGGCCUUCGGGUUGUAAACCUCUUUUAGCAGGGAAGAAGCGAAAGUGACGGUACCUGCAGAAAAAGCGCCGGCUAACUACGUGCCAGCAGCCGCGGUAAUACGUAGGGCGCAAGCGUUAUCCGGAAUUAUUGGGCGUAAAGAGCUCGUAGGCGGUUUGUCGCGUCUGCUGUGAAAUCCCGAGGCUCAACCUCGGGCCUGCAGUGGGUACGGGCAGACUAGAGUGCGGUAGGGGAGAUUGGAAUUCCUGGUGUAGCGGUGGAAUGCGCAGAUAUCAGGAGGAACACCGAUGGCGAAGGCAGAUCUCUGGGCCGUAACUGACGCUGAGGAGCGAAAGGGUGGGGAGCAAACAGGCUUAGAUACCCUGGUAGUCCACCCCGUAAACGUUGGGAACUAGUUGUGGGGACCAUUCCACGGUUUCCGUGACGCAGCUAACGCAUUAAGUUCCCCGCCUGGGGAGUACGGCCGCAAGGCUAAAACUCAAAGGAAUUGACGGGGACCCGCACAAGCGGCGGAGCAUGCGGAUUAAUUCGAUGCAACGCGAAGAACCUUACCAAGGCUUGACAUACACCAGAACGGGCCAGAAAUGGUCAACUCUUUGGACACUGGUGAACAGGUGGUGCAUGGUUGUCGUCAGCUCGUGUCGUGAGAUGUUGGGUUAAGUCCCGCAACGAGCGCAACCCUCGUUCUAUGUUGCCAGCACGUAAUGGUGGGAACUCAUGGGAUACUGCCGGGGUCAACUCGGAGGAAGGUGGGGAUGACGUCAAAUCAUCAUGCCCCUUAUGUCUUGGGCUUCACGCAUGCUACAAUGGCCGGUACAAAGGGCUGCAAUACCGUGAGGUGGAGCGAAUCCCAAAAAGCCGGUCCCAGUUCGGAUUGAGGUUU